This 497-nucleotide ribosomal RNA is filed under the name uncultured bacterium. RNAcentral's name for it is "partial 16S ribosomal RNA". It matches the Rfam family "Bacterial small subunit ribosomal RNA", at positions 28 to 507 of the family's 1533-position model. The record is from RNAcentral.
GACGAACGCUGGCGGCGUGCCUAAUACAUGCAAGUUGAGCGCUGAAGGUUGGUACUUGUACCAACUGGAUGAGCAGCGAACGGGUGAGUAACGCGUGGGGAAUCUGCCUUUGAGCGGGGGACAACAUUUGGAAACGAAUGCUAAUACCGCAUAAAAACUUUAAACACAAGUUUUAAGUUUGAAAGAUGCAAUUGCAUCACUCAAAGAUGAUCCCGCGUUGUAUUAGCUAGUUGGUGAGGUAAAGGCUCACCAAGGCGAUGAUACAUAGCCGACCUGAGAGGGUGAUCGGCCACAUUGGGACUGAGACACGGCCCAAACUCCUACGGGAGGCAGCAGUAGGGAAUCGUCGGCAAUGGACGAAAGGCUGACCGAGCAACGCCGCGUGAGUGAAGAAGGUUUUCGGAUCGUAAAACUCUGUUGGUAGAGAAGAACGUUGGUGAGAGUGGAAAGCUCAUCAAGUGACGGUAACUACCCAGAAAGGGACGGCUAACUACGUG